This 154-nucleotide ribosomal RNA is filed under the name Lihuaxuella thermophila. Its description in RNAcentral is "23S rRNA. Bacterial LSU". It matches the Rfam family "Bacterial large subunit ribosomal RNA", at positions 2772 to 2925 of the family's 2925-position model. Lineage: Bacteria; Bacillati; Bacillota; Bacilli; Caryophanales; Thermoactinomycetaceae. The record is from RNAcentral.
UGAAAGCAUCUAAGCGCGAAGCCCCCCUCAAGAUGAGAUUUCCCACUGACUCGUUCAGGUAAGACCCCUUGCAGAUGACAAGGUAGAUCGGUCCGGAGUGUAAGCACAGCAAUGUGUUCAGCUGACGGAUACGAAUCGGUCGAGGGCUUAACCU